RNAcentral lists this ribosomal RNA (442 nucleotides) under uncultured bacterium. RNAcentral's name for it is "bacterial SSU rRNA". It matches the Rfam family "Bacterial small subunit ribosomal RNA", at positions 958 to 1397 of the family's 1533-position model. The record is from RNAcentral.
AACGCGAAGAACCUUACCUGGGCUCGAACGGCUUUGGAUCGACGGUGGAAACACUGUUUUCCCGCAAGGGACCGGAGUCGAGGUGCUGCAUGGCUGUCGUCAGCUCGUGUCGUGAGAUGUUGGGUUAAGUCCCGCAACGAGCGCAACCCUUGUCCUGUGUUGCCACUCCCGUAAGGGAAGCACUCUCAGGAGACCGCCAGCGAUAAGUUGGAGGAAGGUGGGGAUGAUGUCAAGUCAUCAUGGCCUUUAUGUCCAGGGCUACACACGUGCUACAAUGGUCGGUACAAAGCGCUGCAAACCCGCGAGGGGGAGCUAAUCGGAUAAAACCGUGCUCAGUUCGGAUUGCAGUCUGCAACUCGGCUGCAUGAAGCUGGAAUCGCUAGUAAUGGCGUAUCAGAUCGACGCCGUGAAUACGUUCCCGGGCCUUGUACACACCGCGCAU